AUGCUCCUUUCUUGCGCCGAAUCGAGCAUGCUGCUGACUCCGUCCUCCACCGCGGGGACCGCGGAUGGGGCCCGAAGUGGCUCGCCCCCUUUCAGCGGGUGGCUGGGGGCUGGCGGCCGCCCAGUUGCGGGCCAGGCCUCACGAGGAGCCCGAACAAGUGGAGGCCCGCUUCUUGAAGAGGAACCAAAGACCAAAGCCAUCCAGCUGUCGUCCACGACCAGGGGAGGAACCCUUGGCACGCUUGUUGUACUCCAAGCAAGGCCGCGAAGGAGACACGAUGAAGGCGCGAGCUCAAGACGCCUCGUCGAUGGGCUGGCUUCCCCAGUCGACUCCACGCCGUGA
This 342-nucleotide ribosomal RNA is filed under the name Triticum aestivum (bread wheat). Its description in RNAcentral is "partial small subunit ribosomal RNA". The record is from RNAcentral. Lineage: Eukaryota; Viridiplantae; Streptophyta; Magnoliopsida; Poales; Poaceae.